UAAAUAAAUAUUUAUGGUUUAGGAAUUUUAUUAUAAGUUUAAUUUACAUAUAAAUUUUAGUGUUGAUUUUAUUUUAUUUAAAAAAUAAUAUAUGAAAAUGUAUAGUAAUUAAAAUUAAAAAUUUAAGAAAUUAAGAUUUAGUAAUACAGGAAUUAAAUAACAAAUUUUGUGCCAGCAGUUGCGGUUAUACAAAAAUUUAAAUAAAUUUUAUUAGUAAAAAUAAAUAAUAAAAAAAUUAAAUUAAAAAUAAAAUUAUUAGGUGAAAUUUUUAUUUUAUAAAAAUUUAAGUUUAAAUUAUGAAUUUAAAAAUUUUAAUAAUAAACUAGGAUUAGAUACCCUAUUAUAAAAAAUUAAAAUAAAUUACUAAAAUAGUAAAUAAUUAUUUAUUGAAACUUAAAUAAUUUGGCGGUAUUUUAGUUCAUUUAGAGGAAUCUGUCUAGUAAUUGAUAAUCCACGAAUAAUCAUAUUUAAUUUAAAAUUUUAUAUAUCGUUGUUAAAAAAAUAUUUUUUUAUAAAAAUAAUAUUUUAAAAUUUAUAUUAAAAAUUAAUUCAGAUCAAGAUGUAGAUAAUAAUUAAAAUAAGGAUGGAUUACAAUAUAUUAAUAUAAAUGGAUAAUAAUUUUGAAAUAAUUAUUUGAAAGUGGAUUUAAAUGUAAUUUUAUUUAAUUUAAUAAAAUGAUUAAAAAUUGAAAUAUGUACAUAUUGCCCGUCACUUUCAUUUAAAAAUUGAAAUAAGUCGUAACAAAGUAGGGGUACUGGAAAGUGUUCCUAGAAAGAU
This 777-nucleotide non-coding RNA is filed under the name Appias lyncida. The record is from RNAcentral. Lineage: Eukaryota; Metazoa; Arthropoda; Insecta; Lepidoptera; Pieridae.